UAAUAUUGUGUGCUCUAGAUGAA
RNAcentral lists this non-coding RNA (23 nucleotides) under Gossypium hirsutum (cotton). Lineage: Eukaryota; Viridiplantae; Streptophyta; Magnoliopsida; Malvales; Malvaceae. The record is from RNAcentral.